This 600-nucleotide unclassified non-coding RNA is filed under the name Zea mays. RNAcentral describes it as "misc RNA Zm00001eb405680". Lineage: Eukaryota; Viridiplantae; Streptophyta; Magnoliopsida; Poales; Poaceae. The record is from RNAcentral.
AGCACCUUGCCGCGACCUCCCCAUGGCUCCUGCGCCCUCUCCUAUCUUUUCCCCUCACACGAAAGCACCACACUGCUGCUGCCGUAUGAUAGAUCUUGGGGCGCUGCUCGAGCCGGGUGCACGUCGCUGGGAGCCAUCGCGUGGCCAUCGCACCACGCCAUCACUCCGAGCUUCAUCAAGUAGUCGGGGCGAGUCACCAAAUCGCCCAGCACUGGUCCGUGGCUCUCACGAACGAGUUUUGCAUCCGUGGCGGAAGAAAUUUCUCAACGGAGCAACGACACACCGCGGGCCACACAUCUUCGUGGACGGAGCGCGUCGCGACACCAUUGUAGAAGAACCCGUUGCUGAGGAUCCUGGUGAGCAGCAGGUUGAAGUAGCUGAGCAGGAGCUCAUUGAAGGAGAAGAGCAGGUGAUUCAGGAGGAGCCACAAGGCGAGGAGUUCGAUCUGAUCUAGGUGGCGUUUCUCAGUUGACAUUGGCGCCGACGAUCCUUAGUUCGUGUUAUAUUUAUCUUUUAUUUUGUAAGACUUCCGCUAUGUAUUAAAUACUCUGAUUAUUGUGACAUUUAUCUCUAUACACUCUGUUAUUAUAUAUGUUGUCU